ACUAAAGUUGCUGCUGUUAAAACGCUCGUAGUUGGAUUUCGGUUAAUAAGAUGAUGGUCUACUUUUUUAUAAGUACGCACCUUCACUUAUUUCCUUCUUUUCACAUAUACAAUUUUAUUGUGUUGUGAAUCUUUUACUUUGAAAAAAUUAGAGUGUUCAAAGCAGGCGUAACAAAGCCUUUGAAUAUAUUAGCAUGGGAUAAUGAAAUAAGACUUUUUGCCUUAUUCUCGUUGGUUCUUUAGGGCUAAAGUAAUGAUUAAUAGGGAUAGUUGGGGUCAUUAGUAUUUAAUUGUCAGAGGUGAAAUUCUAAGAUUUAUUAAAGACUAACUACUGCGAAAGCAUUUGACAAGGAUGUUUUCAUUAAUCAAGAACGAAAGUUGGGGGAUCGAAGAUGAUCAGAUACCGUCGUAGUCUCAACCAUAAACUAUGCCGACCAAGGAUUCGGGGGUGUUAUAUGAAUGACCCUCCGGGCACUUAUAGAGAAAUCAUAAGUAUUUGGGUUCCGGGGGGAGUAUGGUCGCAAGGCUGAAACUUAAAGGAAUUGACGGAAGGGCACAACAAGGAGUGGAACUUGCGGUUUAAUUUGACCCAACACGGGAAAACUUACCAGGUCCAGACACAGUGAGGAUUGACAGAUUGAGAGCUCUUUCUUGAUUUUGUGGGUGGUGGUGCAUGGCCGUUUCUAGUUGGUGGAGUGAUUUGUCUGGUUAAUUCCGUUAACGAACGAGACCUUAACCUAUUAAAUAGUUACAUGAACUUGGGUUUACCCAAUUCGUUCAUGGAUAACUUCUUAGAGGGACUCUUCACGUAAAGAGUGAAUGGAAGUUUGAGGCAAAAACAGGUCUGUGAUGCCCUUAGAUGUUCUGGGCUACACGCGUGUUACACCGAUACAUUCAACAAGCAUUAUUAUUCCUUACCCGAUGGGGUUGGGUAAUCUUUUAAAUGUGUAUCGUGAUGGGGAUAGAGCAUUGUAAUUAUUGCUCUUGAACGAGGAAUUCCUAGUAAGUGCAAGUCAUCAACUUGCGCUGAUUACGUCCCUGCCCUUUGUACACACCGCCCGUCGCUCCUACCGAUGAAUGGUCCGGUGAGGACUUAGGAUGGCCGCGGAUUUUGGUGUUAAAGCCAUUCUGUUGUUUUGCCAGAAUUCGUUCAAACCUUAUCAUUUAAAGGAAGGAGAAGUCGUAACAAGGU
This 1191-nucleotide ribosomal RNA is filed under the name metagenome. Its description in RNAcentral is "SSU rRNA". It matches the Rfam family "Eukaryotic small subunit ribosomal RNA", at positions 603 to 1800 of the family's 1831-position model. The record is from RNAcentral.